RNAcentral lists this ribosomal RNA (301 nucleotides) under uncultured bacterium. RNAcentral's name for it is "partial 16S ribosomal RNA". It matches the Rfam family "Bacterial small subunit ribosomal RNA", at positions 509 to 807 of the family's 1533-position model. The record is from RNAcentral.
CAGUCGCCGCGGUAAUACAGAGGGUGCGAGCGUUAAUCGGAUUUACUGGGCGUAAAGCGUGCGUAGGCGGCUAAUUGAGUCGGAUGUGAAAUCCCCGAGCUUAACUUGGGAAUUGCAUUCGAUACUGGUUAGCUAGAGUGUGGGAGAGGAUGGUAGAAUUCCAGGUGUAGCGGUGAAAUGCGUAGAGAUCUGGAGGAAUACCGAUGGCGAAGGCAGCCAUCUGGCCUAACACUGACGCUGAGGUACGAAAGCAUGGGGAGCAAACAGGAUUAGAUACCCGUGUAGUCCCUGUCUCUUAUAC